AUACGGAGGGUGCAAGCGUUACUCGGAAUCACUGGGCGUAAAGCGCGCGCAGGCGGUCUUUUAAGUUGGAUGUGAAAGCCUACGGCUCAACCGUAGAACUGCAUCCAAAACUAUUAGACUAGAGUGUGGGAGAGGAAGAUGGAAUUAGUUGUGUAGGGGUAAAAUCCGUAGAGAUAUCUAGGAAUACCAAAAGCGAAGGCAAUCUUCUGGAACACUACUGACGCUGAGGCGCGAAAGCGUGGGGAGCAAACAGGAUUAGAUACCCUAGUAGUCC
Molecule: ribosomal RNA, 274 nt
Filed under: uncultured bacterium
Lineage: Bacteria
Description: partial 16S ribosomal RNA
Rfam family: Bacterial small subunit ribosomal RNA
Source: RNAcentral